Molecule: ribosomal RNA, 399 nt
Filed under: uncultured microorganism
Description: bacterial SSU rRNA
Rfam family: Archaeal small subunit ribosomal RNA
Source: RNAcentral
GCGCACCAGGCGCGAAAACUUUACAAUGUGCGAAAGCACGAUAAGGGAACUCUGAGUGCCUCCUAAGGAGGCUGCUCAGGUGUCUAAAAAGCACCUGGAGUAAGGGCUGGGUAAGACCGGUGCCAGCCGCCGCGGUAACACCGGCAGCCCAGGUGGUAGCCACUUUUAUUGGGUCUAAAGCGUCCGUAGCCGGUUGAGUAAGUUCCUUGGGAAAUUUGGCUGCUCAACAGUCAAGCUUCCAGGGAAUACUGCUCGACUUGGGACUGGGAGAGGUCAGAGGUACUCCGAGGGGUAGGGGUGAAAUCCAUUAAUCCCUGGGGGACCACCGGUAGCGAAGGCGUCUGACCAGACCAGGUCCGACGGUGAGGGACGAAGGCUAGGGUCGCGAACCGGAUUAGA